AGAGUUUGAUCCUGGCUCAGGAUGAACGUUGGCGGCGUGCCUAAUACAUGCAAGUCGAACGAAGACUGUAGUAAUACUGUCUUAGUGGCGAACGGGUGAGUAACGCGUGGGUGACCUGCCCCGAAGUGUGGGAUAACAGUUCGAAAGGACUGCUAAUACCGCAUAAUAUCCAAGAGAUUAGACGCUUUUGGAUUAAAGGAGUAAUUCGCUUCGGGAGGGGCCCGCGUCCCAUCAGCUAGUUGGUAAGGUAAUGGCUUACCAAGGCGAUGACGGGUAGGGGACCUGAGAGGGUGGCCCCCCACAAUGGAACUGAAACACGGUCCAUACACCUACGGGUGGCAGCAGUAGGGAAUAUUAGUAAUGGGCGAAAGCCUGAACUAGCAACGCCGCGUGUGCGAAGAAGGCCUUCGGGUUGUAAAGCACUUUUUGAGAGGAUGAGGAAGGACGGUACUCUCAGAAUAAGUCUCGGCUAACUACGUGCCAGCAGCCGCGGUAACACGUAGGAGGCAAACGUUAUCCGGAUUUACUGGGCGUAAAGCGCGUGUAGGUGGUUUGGUAAGUAGGGCGUGAAAGCUCCUGGCUCAACUGGGAGAGGACGUUCUAAACUACCAAGCUUGAGGAUGGUAGAGGGAGGUGGAAUUCCGGGUGUAGCGGUGGAAUGCGCAGAUAUCCGGAGGAACACCAGUGGCGAAGGCGGCCUCCUGGACCAUUCCUGACACUCAGACGCGAAAGCUAGGGUAGCAAACGGGAUUAGAGACCCCGGUAGUCCUAGCCCUAAACGAUGUAGACUUGGCGUCGGUGGUUUAAACGCCAUCGGUGUCGGAGCUAACGCGUUAAGUCUACCGGCCUGGGGACUAUGGCCGCAAGGGUUAAAACUCAAAUGAAUUGACGG
RNAcentral lists this ribosomal RNA (892 nucleotides) under Chloroflexi bacterium enrichment culture clone L11_2_50. Its description in RNAcentral is "bacterial SSU rRNA". It matches the Rfam family "Bacterial small subunit ribosomal RNA", at positions 8 to 916 of the family's 1533-position model. Lineage: Bacteria; Bacillati; Chloroflexota. The record is from RNAcentral.